Molecule: ribosomal RNA, 253 nt
Filed under: uncultured bacterium
Lineage: Bacteria
Description: partial 16S ribosomal RNA
Rfam family: Bacterial small subunit ribosomal RNA
Source: RNAcentral
UACGUAGGCAGCAAGCGUUGUUCGGAAUUACUGGGCGUAAAGAGUGUGUAGGCGGUGCUCCAAGUCUGGUGUGAAAUCUCCCGGCUCAACUGGGAGGGUGCGCUAGAAACUGGAAUGCUAGAGGAUGGGAGAGGUAAGCGGAAUUCCUGGUGUAGCGGUGAAAUGCGCAGAUAUCAGGAGGAACACCGGUGGCGAAGGCGGGUCUCUGGGCCGAUACUGACGCUGAGGAGCGAAAGCGUGGGGAGCGAACAGG